Molecule: long non-coding RNA, 320 nt
Organism: Chiloscyllium plagiosum (whitespotted bambooshark)
Lineage: Eukaryota; Metazoa; Chordata; Chondrichthyes; Orectolobiformes; Hemiscylliidae
Source: RefSeq, a predicted model, not a curated record
ACCUGAACAGUUUACAGAAUCUCUUGUUUAUGAGGUUGCUGAGGUUCAAUUGCUAAACAGAAUGCCCGAUUCUCAAAAAAGUGAAAUAACUGUUAAUCGAGAGGCAGCUCCUCAACUACGUACAGCAUGUAGAUCUGUGUCAGUACCUGACCGACCUCAACCUCCACAAAGACCCCCUCCACCAACUAUGCAAAGCAUGAAAAAAAUCAGCCUCUGAUACUGUGCUUUCAUCUGAAGAAAGUCCUUUUCAGGCCAUGACUCUGAAUCCAUCCCAGAUUCUUCCAGGGCCAGCUGUAAGUUACCAAAUUGAAAUUCGUAGA